GACGAACGCUGGCGGCGUGCUUAGCACAUGCAAGUCGAGCGGUAAGGCCCUUUCGGGGGUACACGAGCGGCGAACGGGUGAGUAACACGUGGGUGACCUGCCCUCAGCUCUGGGAUAAGCCUGGGAAACCGGGUCUAAUACUGGAUAUGACUCCAUGACGCAUGUUGUGGGGUGGAAAGCCUUGUGCGGCUGAGGAUGGGCCCGCGGCCUAUCAGCUUGUUGGUGGGGUGAUGGCCUACCAAGGCGACGACGGGUAGCCGGCCUGAGAGGGCGACCGGCCACACUGGGACUGAGACACGGCCCAGACUCCUACGGGAGGCAGCAGUGGGGAAUCUUGCGCAAUGGGCGAAAGCCUGACGCAGCGACGCCGCGUGAGGGAUGACGGCCU
RNAcentral lists this ribosomal RNA (388 nucleotides) under uncultured bacterium. Its description in RNAcentral is "bacterial SSU rRNA". It matches the Rfam family "Bacterial small subunit ribosomal RNA", at positions 28 to 417 of the family's 1533-position model. The record is from RNAcentral.